Long non-coding RNA from Homalodisca vitripennis (glassy-winged sharpshooter), 1209 nucleotides. RefSeq lists it as uncharacterized. The record is from RefSeq and is a predicted model, not a curated record. Lineage: Eukaryota; Metazoa; Arthropoda; Insecta; Hemiptera; Cicadellidae. The transcript is spliced from 3 exons.
AAAUUAGCAUCAUUUAAUUUUGAGAUGUAUUCAAGAGCUUUCAAUAUUCCUAUUAGUUCAGUUGUAUAACCGAUAAAAGUUUUCAAGACUUUAUCGAUGGACGGUAUCAUAACAACAGCAGCGCCUGCUACAUUAAACGUCUUUGAACCAUCUGUGUAAAUAGCUAUAUAAUUUUUAUAGGUUAUGAUGUUAAUUUCAUAAUAAAAACAUUGUUUUUAAGUAUGUAGUCAUUCGCGUAGUGGAGUGGACCUCGUUGGUGUGAGAUCUGUGGUUGAAGAAUCAAAGUGUGUUUUAACCUGUAUCAACGUGCAAUUUUUCGUAACUAACACUUUAACUUGUAAUUAUGUAAAACUAACCUGGUAAAGUGAGACAGUGAAUAACCAAACCUUUCAGAUGUAAAAAUACAACAAGAAUGAACUUCAACCACAGAAGAAAAAGUAAUUGUUAAAACACAGUGAACAUCAAGGCUAAAUGACAAAGUCAUAGCCUUAAAGAAGAAGAAGAAAAAAAAAAAUUUCGCCUGACGACUUGGCAGGCCAUGAAGGUGAUUUCAAUGUUCAAGAUCAUGUAAGAAGAGAAGAGAACUAUAUUCUUGGCAAAAACAACAUAACGAGAUGGGAUACCCAUAUGAAGACUGAAAAUUACGAGGCAAGAGUACGGCGACACAACAUUUUAUGAGGUGAGAGACUUGUUGUACCAAGAGGUGAAGGUGCCACUACAAAAACUUCACCUAAGGACAAUAUAAUGAGUAAAAAGUGUGAACGAACAAUUGUUUACCGCAGCAAUUUGUGUUUUUUUAUUUUAGAUUUUAUUGUAUAUUCAAUUAUUAAGGUUAAUUAUUAGGUUUUUAUAUUUGUUAAAAAGUGUAUUUUUAUGUUUAGUCUACUUUCUUUUUAAAUUAUAUAUUUUGUUUUGUAGAAUUUUUUAUUUAAAGAUACACGUUAAAAUUAUUACUUAUAUAUUAGAUACUGUUAUUAUUACUUAUAAUUUAUUUUUAAAAGUUAUCUCAUUAGAUCUUAAUUUUGUUUAAGGUAGUUUGCCCUCAUGAUGUGUACAUGUAUUUUAAUGAAAUGUCUUACAAAUAUCAAUCAAGUAUUUUGAUAUUCAAUCAUGUACUAUAACCUCCUCAUUUAUACUAACUUUUAUUUAAACAAUUUUGUUUUUCAGUAUAUACAAAUAUUAAAUGAUAUUUUUUUAAAGUUGAACACA